AUAGCUGCUUUGCCUCUGCUCGUGCUGAGUAGCACACCUGCCGUGAGUGACUGACCAACUUGGCCAGGCACAGAGGGCAGGAGGGGAGGGGCCUCGGGGUGCAGGGGGUGACAGGUGAGUUGGGGCAUUUUCCACAGUGCAUGCAUGCUGCAUUUUAUCUGAUGCUCACAGCUACCCUCAGAGAGAACCUGAGGCCCAGAGGAGUUGAGGGACUCCCAUUCAGUUCACCUGUGCUGGGCUUAGGUCCUUGGUGUCCAGGCUGCAGCCAUGGCUGGACCACUUGCUUGCCCUCCAAGGCUUUGGGAGGCUAUAGGGGGUGGCGGGAGGCCUGUGGGCCCAGCAGUCACCUGACCUGGGCUCAAAUCUCAGCCGGGCCAGGGACCAACAGUGUGACCUUGGGUCCUCCUUCGAUGGGAGGUUAAUCAUGCCCACCUCGCCAGGCUGUUGGGAGGCUCAGUGAGAGGCGGCGGAGGCCAUCUCCACCCCUGGAACUCUCAAGGGAGUUCUUGUGACUUUCACAAGUAACUGCUAAGUUGCUGUUGCUGAAUCAAAUUCCUGGAGAGCCAGGAAGUAUGUCUGUGGGUGGGAGAGACGUCUGGCACUUCCAGGGGGGCCCCAAGGCUUCCUUCCCACAUGCCUGCCUCCCCCAGCGCCUGGCAGCCCUUGAGAGGGAAGGUAACAGAGGGGCCCAGAGGGUCUGGAACUUACCAUGCCCCUGCUUCCUGCCCACUGUACCUGUCUGCACCCCUGGUUUCCCUGUCUGCAGUUCUGAGUUCAGUAAACGUGGUUUUACUUUCUUUAUAGCACCUGUCGCCACCCAAACUUCUCUGGAUUAUUGAUUGUAUUGUCACUAUUGUCUGCUUCCUCAUCCCCUCCUAGAGUGGCAGUCAUGGAGCAGGGACUUUGUUCACUGCUUUGUGUUGUUGACUGCUGUAGCUCCUGCACCUAGAGCAGUGCCUGGCACACAGCAGGAGUUCAGUCAGUAUUUGCGGCAGGAAGGAAGGAAGGGACAGAGGGAGGGAGAGAGGGUGGAAAUUGUGGGUCCUCUGUGGUCAGCCCUUUGCUGCAAUUGGGGAUGUUGCCUUAGGUUAGAGCCCAACCCUGCUGACAGAGGCUUCCCCUCCAGUGCCAGAGGCAGACACAGACACAGACAGUGACUGUGGGUGUGACCAGCACUGCGACAGAGGGAAGGAGGCACUCUGGCUGGGGAAGCCAGGGCAGAUGGCAUCUGAUCUGCUUCAAGGAGUAGGCCGGGCUGGCUGGGGGCAGGGGGGUUGGGUGGGGGGCUGGGAAGCCUCAGAGAAGCAUCAGCUGAGAAGACAAGGCAAGGAAGAGUCAGGGGGACAAGGGAGGGGCAGCAUUCCAGGCAGAGAGAGCCGAGUGUGCAAAGGCAGGAAGGCAGGAAGGCUGUGUGGAGUUAGAGGCACCUGCUGCUGUCACUGAGUGCAGUGACUGGGAAGGUAGAGGUUGGUGGUGGGAGGGUCCCCUGAGAGAACGGUAGGGAUCUCACGGAACGCAGCAAAUCCAGGCUGUUUCUCUCCCAGUGCUCAAAGGCUCCUGACUGUGGAGAGCUAAAGCUGCCAGGAGCUGCCUGUGCUUGCCAAGUGGUUGCAGAUGUUUCCUCCCUACUGCUCUGACUUUGCCAGAGAUGGGCAUCUUGCUUUGUUGCCUGGGCUGGUCUUGAACUCCUGGGCUUAACUGAUCUUCCUGCCUCGGCCUCUCAAAUCACUGAGAUUACAGGUGUGAACCAGCAUGCCCAACUUAUUAUUGCAGGUUCUUGACCAAGUGGCCAGGGUGACUGCUGAGGAGCCAGAGAUGCAAACCCGGGGAUGCUGCAGCCUGAAGCAGGCCCGAGGAGGCCAGGGUCAGAGGGCCAGUCCUGCCAAUGAGGGCCUAGAUGGAGGGGUGAGGCCGUCUUCAGGACUACAGGCUUCACUCCCUAUCUCAGCAGUGAGCCUGGGCACACCCUAUCCCCAGGCUGGGCACCAGACUUUUGUCCCACUUCAGCAUGGGUCCAGGUGGCAUAGCAGACAGACCUGCCCUUUCCUGAUUCCGGCUGCUGUUAAGUACAUCUCACAGGCUACUGCGUCUGUGCCUUGGUUCCGCUGUCCCUGCCACCUGGGAUGUGCAGUCUGCCUUCUCUUUCUGUUAACAUCUUACCUACCCUUCAGCUCUACUGCAACUUCCCAAGAUCCCCCUGGGUCAGAAUGACUCCCACACCAACCAGACCUUGGGCACGUUACCUGACUCAAUGAGUCUCCGUUUACUUGCUUGCAUAUGGUGCUGUUUGUACCUACCUGUGGGUCCUAUGAGCAUUUGGUGAGAAAACUUAUACAAAAGUGCCCAGCAUGAUUUUAGCAUAUAAAUUAUCUCCUUAUGGUGAUACUUUUUUCCUCCAAUAAAAAAUUU
Molecule: long non-coding RNA, 2409 nt
Filed under: Homo sapiens (human)
Lineage: Eukaryota; Metazoa; Chordata; Mammalia; Primates; Hominidae
Description: HSALNT0363923
Source: RNAcentral